AUGAUCGUCUUCCGGUUUUUGACACGCAGUCGGCGUGGGACCAAGAUGAGCGAUGGGCAGAAGAUCUCAGCCUCCAUCAACGGGUUGCGGCUGCCGGGCUCGGCGGAGGGCGGGGCGGGCCGGCCGGUCCGGGCCGUGAGCCUCCGGCCCCCCCCCCGCCCGGCUCGGCCCCCGCUGCGCCGACUCGGCCAUCCCGACCCUGGAGAUCGGCGACCCCGAGGCCGUCCAGUGCGGCGCGCCGGGCGUCCGGCCGAAGCCCCGCGAGCCCCCGGCCCGGCCGGCCCCCCGCCCGGCGUCGCCGCCCUCCCCGCCGUCGUCCUCGUCCUCCUCGGCGUCGUCGGCGUCCUCGGCGGAGCGGGAUGGGUCCGCCGGCCCCCGGUCCGCCUUCCCCGGCGGCGGGCCGGCCCCCGGCCGCGGCGACGGGCCCGCGGCGGGCGACGGGGCCGGCCCGGGCCCCGAGGACGGGGCCGACUUCACGGCCACCAGCGGCUCCAGCGCCAUCGUCACCCUGGGCGGCGACGAGGCCCCCUUCUCCGACGUGACGCUCAGCUCGGCCAAGGACGGCGGCCGCCCGGCCCGGCCCCCGCCCCCGCCCGGCCCCGCCGGCCCCGAACCCGCCGGGACCGCGGGCUCGGCCGCGGCGGGCAACUUCUUCACCAGGUAAGGCCGGCCGGGCGUUUUCCCCCGGGGCUGCUCGCCGG
Molecule: long non-coding RNA, 701 nt
Filed under: Ornithorhynchus anatinus (platypus)
Lineage: Eukaryota; Metazoa; Chordata; Mammalia; Monotremata; Ornithorhynchidae
Description: lncRNA (ENSOANG00000043852.1)
Source: RNAcentral